RNAcentral lists this transfer RNA (98 nucleotides) under Pseudomonas fluorescens. RNAcentral's name for it is "tRNA-Lys". The record is from RNAcentral. Lineage: Bacteria; Pseudomonadati; Pseudomonadota; Gammaproteobacteria; Pseudomonadales; Pseudomonadaceae.
CCUCGGUGUCGCUCAGGCCUGCGAGGGUCUGCACGAUCUUUUCAUGCUUGGCCAGGGCCGAGCGCACCUGGCGGAAGUUCCAGCCUUCGACCAGGGUC